Non-coding RNA from Streptomyces ipomoeae 91-03, 75 nucleotides. It matches the Rfam family "ASpks TB sRNA". The record is from Rfam. NCBI's taxonomy places the organism in Bacteria, Bacillati, Actinomycetota, Actinomycetes, Kitasatosporales, Streptomycetaceae.
CUUCAACGAGCCCAGCCACAGCGGCUGUUCGUCGGGGCGGUCCUGGCCGUAGGUGGCGAGGAGGGCCUGGGCCUC